AUUCCUUCGGGGAUGGGUUAGCGGCGGACGGGUGAGUAACACGUAGGCAACCUGCCUAUAAGCCUGGGAUAACUUCCGGAAACGGAUGCUAAUACCGGAUACGUUGGGUUCUCGCAUGAGAGCUCAUGGAAAGACGGCGCAAGCUGUCACUUAUGGAUGGGCCUGCGGCGCAUUAGCUAGUUGGUGGGGUAACGGCUCACCAAGGCGACGAUGCGUAGCCGACCUGAGAGGGUGAUCGGCCACACUGGGACUGAGACACGGCCCAGACUCCUACGGGAGGCAGCAGUAGGGAAUCUUCGGCAAUGGACGCAAGUCUGACCGAGCAACGCCGCGUGAGUGAUGAAGGGUUUCGGCUCGUAAAACUCUGUUGCCAGAGAAGAACGUCCAGGAGAGUAACUGCUCUUGGAGUGACGGUAUCUGAGAAGAAAGCCCCGGCUGACUACGUGCCAGCAGCCGCGGUAAUACGUAGGGGGCAAGCGUUGUCCGGAAUUAUUGGGCGUAAAGCGCGCGCAGGCGGUUGUUUAAGUCUGGGGUUUAAGUUCGGGGCUCAACCCCGUAUCGCCCUGGAAACUGGGGAACUGGAGUGUAGGAGAGGAAAGUGGAAUUCCACGUGUAGCGGUGAAAUGCGUAGAGAUGUGGAGGAACACCAGUGGCGAAGGCGACUUUCUGGCCUAUAACUGACGCUGAGGCGCGAAAGCGUGGGGAGCAAACAGGAUUAGAUACCCUGGUAGUCCACGCCGUAAACGAUGCACGCUAGGUGUUGGGGGUUUCAAUACCCUCGGUGCCGAAGUUAACACAU
This 799-nucleotide ribosomal RNA is filed under the name uncultured bacterium. RNAcentral's name for it is "bacterial SSU rRNA". It matches the Rfam family "Bacterial small subunit ribosomal RNA", at positions 74 to 860 of the family's 1533-position model. The record is from RNAcentral.